AUGGACAGAGCUGGAGGCAACCAAGCAGGCCAAGUGUCGAAGAAAGGAAAGAAGAAGCAUGCGAAAGACGAGUCAGACCGGCAGAAGCAGGCUGAGAAGAAGAGGCGCCGGCUGGAGAAAGCACUCGCAAACUCCGCAGCGAUCAUUUCAGAGCUGGAAAAGAAGCGGCAGCAGAAACAGGAGGAGCAGAGGAGGCUGGAUGACGAAGGGGCUGCGAUAGCCGAGGCUGUCGCCCUUCAUGUCCUCAUAGGCGAAGAUUGCGAUGAACCCCGCCAGCUAAUGUGGAACGGCCAUAGAGGCCGCGGCCAUCGGGGUGAUUUUGUGGAUCACGAGCCGGCUCCAGGCGCGCAAGGAGCAGGAGGAGACGCCUAUCCAUAUGGAAGCCGGUCACCGCUGGCACGGGCCUCUCGUCCCCACAUGCCCCAGUGGAGGCUGACCGACUGUGGCAUGUCCGGGCCGUUCUCGUUCUCAUCGUGGGAGCGAAUGGGCGAUUUUGAGGGGCUAUACUGCGAAGGGACACCCUGUCAGACAGACCAAGACACUUACUGCCACGGCCUCGUAGCAGCAACCCAGGCCGCCUCUCCAUUCGGAUACGGUUCGGAGGAUCCAUUCCCUGCCCAUGGAACGGAGGGUGCUUCCUCCAUCAACAUCAUGCUGGGCGGCGGCACCAGCAACAGCCUGAACAUCUACAGGAGACAAUUCUAG
This 705-nucleotide ribosomal RNA is filed under the name Triticum aestivum (bread wheat). RNAcentral describes it as "partial small subunit ribosomal RNA". Lineage: Eukaryota; Viridiplantae; Streptophyta; Magnoliopsida; Poales; Poaceae. The record is from RNAcentral.